RNAcentral lists this long non-coding RNA (292 nucleotides) under Elaeis guineensis (African oil palm). RNAcentral describes it as "long non-coding RNA (EGUI_LNC011150)". Lineage: Eukaryota; Viridiplantae; Streptophyta; Magnoliopsida; Arecales; Arecaceae. The record is from RNAcentral.
AUUCGAGAUCCAUUUUGAAUCCAAUUCUCUUCCAAUUUGAGUCCUUUUACUUGUGAAUCGGGCUCUUUGCAUUGGUGAUCAUCUUUCCUGCAAAACACAAAUAAAAGCAUCAAUUUUUAAGAAACAAAGAUCAAUUAGUAGAUAUUUUGAUACUUCUUUUGGGAUAUUUAAUGUACUUAUCACUAACCAUUCUGGGUAAUAGACUUCUCAGAUGAACCCUAUCUUUAGAAGCUUAUCCACCUCUUCUUGUAUGAUAUUUUGUUGCUCGAAAGCAAAACUAUGCUUCUUUUGU